Molecule: long non-coding RNA, 561 nt
Filed under: Cyanistes caeruleus (blue tit)
Lineage: Eukaryota; Metazoa; Chordata; Aves; Passeriformes; Paridae
Description: lncRNA (ENSCCEG00000013287.1)
Source: RNAcentral
AUCAAUAUUAUAUCCUAGGAUUUUUUUUUUUCUAUUUUUUUUUUUUUUUUUUCCAGGCCAAGUUGAAUUAAAUAUAUUAAAUGGGAAUAAGGAGAGAAAACUAUUGAUGUGCCUUUAAAAUAUCCUGUUUUCCCCCUCAUGAAAGCAUAAGCCAGAGGUUGUCUUGUUCUUGACAUAUUAGGACACAUGAGAGAGAAGGCCUAGGAGCAGCAGCAGCAGCAGUGAUUGAUGAAGUGACAUGGAGAUGAUCACCCAGCAGUGGAAGGAGUUGUGUCUACGAUUUCAAACUGAGGGACACAUCUUCCUCAGGGGAGGUGCAUUAGGUCUGUUAGCAACUUCAGAGUUGUAAGAUGGAAGAGGCAACAGGAAGGCUCAAAUACGUGGAGAAACCUUACACCUAACAAGAAGAUACAAAAAAGAGUGUGGUAUGUGGAGGACUGGCUGUACAGAAGUCCUGGCAUCAGAAAAGAGGACAGGGUUAAAGAGGGUAGGGGAGACCUUUCACAUGGCAAUAUGGCAAAUGGAAACGUGAGACAACAGAGCUGUUCUGGAGGAGGGUGA